This 520-nucleotide ribosomal RNA is filed under the name uncultured bacterium. RNAcentral's name for it is "partial 16S ribosomal RNA". The record is from RNAcentral.
AGCGACUGUGCAGGUUACCGCGGCUGCUGGCACGGAGUUAGCCGGUGCUUCUUCUGUGAGUGAUGUCCUUCCUGCCGGCUAUUAACCCGCAGGCCUUCUUCCUCACUGAAAGUGCUUUACAACCCGAAGGCCUUCUUCACACACGCGGCAUGGCUGGAUCAGGGUUGCCCCCAUUGUCCAAUAUUCCCCACUGCUGCCUCCCGUAGGAGUCUGGGCCGUGUCUCAGUCCCAGUGUGGCUGAUCAUCCUCUCAGACCAGCUACGGAUCGUCGCCUUGGUGAGCCGUUACCUCACCAACCAGAUAAUCCGACAUAGGCUCAUCCGAUAGCGCGAGGCCCGGAAGGUCCCCCGCUUUCCCCCGGUAGGGCGUAUGCGGUAUUAGCCUGGGUUUCCCCAGGUUAUCCCCCACUACCGGGCAGAUUCCUAUGCAUUACUCACCCGUCCGCCGCUCGCCACCAGGGAGCAAGCUCCCCGUGCUGCCGCUCGACUUGCAUGUGUUAGGCCUGCCGCCAGCGUUCAAU